UGCUUGAAGCUUUACCUUGAUGACUAAAGUAUUUGCACUACAUUUUCAGUCACUAGUGUAUACAUCUUAAAUAGUAAAAUAAUAUGCGCCUGCGCGGGAUAUGAUUAUUAGUUUCGUUAUUUUUAAUAAAAAGACAUUAAAUCUGUUAAAUCUGGAUAUUGGUUCGGUUUUAAAUUUUUUUUUUUGGUUUUUAAUGUUCUAAAAUAUAACUAUUGUUUUAAAUUAAUAUUCAUUUUAGUUUAUUCGGUUAAAUUGUUUGAUUUUUUUGUUUUUUC
Molecule: long non-coding RNA, 275 nt
Filed under: Brassica napus (rape)
Lineage: Eukaryota; Viridiplantae; Streptophyta; Magnoliopsida; Brassicales; Brassicaceae
Description: long non-coding RNA (BNAP_LNC012710)
Source: RNAcentral